Molecule: long non-coding RNA, 2632 nt
Organism: Manihot esculenta (cassava)
Lineage: Eukaryota; Viridiplantae; Streptophyta; Magnoliopsida; Malpighiales; Euphorbiaceae
Exons: 5
Source: RefSeq, a predicted model, not a curated record
UACCCACGGUCCCCUUCGGCCGCACCAUCCUUCCCCAACGCACCUCCACCCGGCACCUGUGCUCCAUCUCAAGCUCACCAACCAGUUCCUCCCUCAACCUUUGCCUCCUUCAAUCUCUAGACCCACCAUACCAACGGUCCCCCAUCAGCACCUUCUCCCAUUUCCUUUCCUCCGACGCUAUCAACUCCCCCUUUCAACACCUUUGCUCACAGCACCGCUUCAGUUCCUUUCUCCUUAACCCCAACUCUUCACCACCUCCCGCUCCUCAUCCAUUCCUCCACCACUAGAACCACCACUCUCCAUCUUUAUCGACGCCCCAAACCUAUAGUAUAUACCCUCUGUCAAUCCUCACCCAACCUGCAUGACCAGUUCACAGAAUCGAUUCCCUCUUACGGAAGAACGUGUGGGUAUUCUUUCGCCAAGAGAGACUCAAUGCUGCAAGAAAUCAGAGUAGCCAUUUUCAUUCCAAGAUCACAGAAUCACGCGCCAUCAUUGUUGAUUCCAAAUAGAAAUUCCAUUUCCAGCGUCGCUCCUCUCACCUCCACCGCUGCCCUCAGUCGCGCCAAACCAGGGAUGAUGACUGCCCAUUUCGACGCCGCAGGUCUUCGCAGCACCUGGUGUCACUAUCGCAGAGUAUUGGGCCAAAUAGCCAUACCUACGAAGCAGUGGAGCACGAAGACAAGUGUCCCCCCCCCCCCCCCCACGUCGUUGCAACUAAUGACAUUAAAAAAUUUGUGGGUCGGCCGCUUCCCUUCGAGUGAGUAUAGAUACGGAUGUAGGCUAUGUGGCACACAUCAAGCGCUGAUACUCGUGAACUAAAGGAUAACGUAACGAAAUCAAAAGAUGAUAUCUGGCUGUUGCGCAGCAGCUUCGUUACGAUGAGAAGCAAUGCAUCUGUGUUUUUUCUAUUUGAUGAUUGCAGUUAAUUUUGGUACUUUCCCUGUUUGAAUUUGAGUCAAUGAUCACGUGCGAGAAGGGCGUAUCUGCUGUUGUUUUUUUUAUCAUCUUUAUGGUCGAAUUAGACGAAGCAGCAAAUGAUGUUGAGCAAAAGUAAAGAAAAGCGCAUGAAAUCAUUUUAUUUAGUGUCUUCCCAAGUACAUGGAAUAUUAUCUAGUGGUAGUGUCAUUAUCUAACCAUGCAUGCAACAUAAUAUGCUAAACAGAUAUAGGUAACCCUACUGCACCACCUUUUCAUGGAUUCUUCUUCAGUGUAUCAAUAAACCUUCCAUCUAAUAUAUCAUUAUUUGAAAUAUAAUCAAGAAAAUCACUGAAACUGAACUCUUUGUAGGAUGUCGGGUGUUGCUCAUCGACAAGCUCUGGUGCUGGCCCAACUUUCUUGUUUAAGGCUAAACUGUGAAGACUUGCUAUCGAAAAACGCUUCCUCUGAGGACUAACAGUUGCUUGGUGAACAACACUCUUAUAUUGGCCGUUGCUCAUUACUUCUACCUGAUCUCCCAACUGAACCAGUAGUGCUCCUUCGGUCAUUGGAACUGAGAUCCAAUUCUUAUUCUGGUCCAUGAUCUGUAGACCAGUGCAGCUCUGAAGUAAGAUCGUUAAUGACCCAUAGUCUGAGUGCAGUGGCAUGCCUAAUGUGAGCUGUGGUUCAGGACAUGCUGGAUAGCAGUUCAUGGUCAUCACUUGUGAUCCUUCUUCAAUUUCAUUUUGCCAUAGGUGAAUCCACUCUGAGAUGGGAUGAGAGUAAUGCUUGAUGAAGUCUCUCCAAAAAUGAACUUUGUCCCUCGAAUGAUUUAAACUGGUGCCGUACCUUACAGGGGCAUGGACAUUGCCUGACAUCAGAAGCAUCUUCUCUUCAAGAGGCAGGUCGAAGAAGCCCAUCACAGCAUCUAGAGCAUCUUUCAUCACAUGAAGAGGGAUUCCAUGGUUUAUCACCUGAAAACAUGCACUUCGUAUCUCAUUUACAACACGAGACCUAAGAGAAGGAUGGUGCAGCAUGGAAAGGUCAACAAUUGGAAGGGUGGUGGAGGGGGUCAGAGUAGCAUUUGGCCUUGCUGAUGAAGGAAGAAUGUAAGAAUCGGGCACGUUAGAUGCCCCUGACUUGUUACAUUGUAUAGGAAGCACAAAUUAUGGUGUGCAGCCCAAACGUGGAUAUUACACUCAUAAAUGUAUUUGGUGAGAGAGAAGGAAGAAAAGGAGGAAGUGGGCCCCACCAAUUUGCAGGCUGAUGAUGAAAUAGAUCUAUCCCGUAGUGCAAAAUUCCGGGCAGCAAGGGACCCAUAAGCCAGAGAUGGCGGAAUAUGAGAUACUAGAGGGUUUUUUAGCAAGAGAUGAUAGAGUUUACAAUGAAUAAUGUUAGUGCAAGUUGUGAGUGACAUGCACGUCCCCAAUUACAGCGUUGGAGCUAUUACUUAGCUUUUCACGGCAGGCAUACAAUACAAGAUUGGUUACUGCUCUUCAUUUUUUCCCUAGCUGUAGCACGUGAAAUAUCGGAUUGCAGUUGAAACAUUAAACUCCACCACCCUUGUUUAUUUAGUUUUUAUGUUUUAUUAACAGUGAAGCUAUUACUUAGUUUUUAUGUUUUAUUAACAGUGAAGAAAACAUAUACUUGUUUAUUUAAUAUAAAGUAUUUUUUUAAUUUAAAAAGUAAAAAAAAAAUGCUUAUAUCUUUUUGAAAA